UGGAAUGAGUUAAGUAUAAACCCCUUUACAAGUAUCAAUUGGAGGGCAAGUCUGGUGCCAGCAGCCGCGGUAAUUCCAGCUCCAAUAGCGUAUAUUAAAGUUGUUGCAGUUAAAAAGCUCGUAGUUGGAUUUCUGUUAAUAAUUUAUAUAUAAUAUUUGAUUAAUAUUUAUAUAAUAUUAACAUAAUUCAUAUUACUAAAUUUAUUAGUAUAUGAAAUUUUACUUUGAGAAAAUUAGAGUGCUUAAAGCAGGCAUAUGCCUUGAAUACUCCAGCAUGGAAUAAUAUUAAAGAUUUUUAUCUUUCUUAUUGGUUCUAAGAUAAAAAUAAUGAUUAAUAGGGACAGUUGGGGGCAUUUGUAUUUAACAGUCAGAGGUGAAAUUCUUAGAUUUGUUAAAGACAAACUAAUGCGAAAGCAUUUGCCAAGGAUGUUUUCAUUAAUCAAGAACGAAAGUUAGGGGAUCGAAGACGAUCAGAUACCGUCGUAGUCUUAACCAU
RNAcentral lists this ribosomal RNA (496 nucleotides) under Cryptosporidium meleagridis. Its description in RNAcentral is "SSU rRNA". It matches the Rfam family "Eukaryotic small subunit ribosomal RNA", at positions 510 to 1033 of the family's 1831-position model. The record is from RNAcentral. Lineage: Eukaryota; Apicomplexa; Conoidasida; Eucoccidiorida; Cryptosporidiidae.